UCUCAAAUAGAAGAGUGUCUCAACCGAAUACCACUCAUUUUCUAUCUUAAAUUAAGAACCAAAAGAUUGCAUGCAUAUGUGGCUGGGAUUGAAGAAAGGACUUAACCUCUCUAUUUUCAACAUUUUGCAUUUUUUAAGACUUCACCAAUCCAUAAGGGUCUCUUUGAAUUCCAUUAGUCUCCUUUCUCAUUUGUGUUUUCUAUCUAAAAGUAUGUUGAAGGCAUUUUUUACAUUUACAUUGGGAACCAUUUGUGGUGUCCUUAUUGCUCGAAAGGUGCACAAUCUUUUCCACUUUGAAGGCCUUCGUAGCAUUGCACCUAAAAGUGAUCUUAACAAGAAAGUUCUUGUAACCAGUUCUACGGUUGAUGAACAACGUCGACAAUGAUGGAAAAUUGAAGAUAUAGUGCAGAAUUUCAUUGAAUGAUUUUCUCUAAUGUGUAACAAUGUUGGUUUUUAGAGAUAUACUGUUUUGGAAAUAACUGUAUCUAAACGAACGUUUGAGUUAUAUAAUAAUGGUGAUUGUCAAUUAGAUGAACAUUACAUAUGUAUAUAAGUUACUUGUAUUGUGUGUAUUUAAGGUUCCCAUAUGCUUAUAGUUCUUAAAGGCCUCAGUUUAGUUUCCCCUAAAAGUGAUGUUAGCAACAAAGUUAGUUUAAACCAUUCUACGGCUGAUGAACAAAUAACUUUAAAUGUUACAGUUAAUGGGCUUUUAAUAAUAAGUUAGUGAAAAGAAUUGAAAGGUCAAUAGACAGUGGGAAAAUUAAGAGUAUUUACUAUUUAUCAUAAUUAGUAGAAUAGCUAAAGUUUGUUUUAUAUGUAUAAAGUCCAAAAUUGCAUUCCAAUAAAAUACAGAAGUUUGCAAACAGAAUCGUUUCUUCUGACAAAUUGGUAUCAGAGCUAAUGGCAAAUAUGAUGAAUCAAAUGCCGUUACCACGGCUAACGAAGUUGAAUUACGAAAACUGGAGUAUCCAGAUGAAAGCUCUUCUCGGAUCUCUAGACGCGUGGGAGGUGACCAAAAGAUGGGUUUGAAGAACCAAACAGAUGUUGAGGAAUACGGCAGCUCAAAACAAGGCGUUGAAAGAGACGCGAUCGAAGAUAAAACGGCACUUUACAUGCUGUUUAGGGUUGUUGAUGAAUCAGGCUUCGAAAAGAUUGCCGGUUCGACUACGUCGAAAGAAGCGUGGGACACACUGGGAAAGUGUUCAAAGGAGCAGAUCGAGUAAAGCAAGUUCGACUCCAAACACUUCGUGGCAAUUGGAGAGGAUGCAGAUGAAGGAGUCAGAAAAUGUAUCUGACUACAUCACGCGUGUACAAAAAGUGGUGAACCAACUCAGCAGAAAUGGCGAAACAGUAACUAUGCACGAGUUGUCGAAAAGAUUUUGAGAUCAUUUAACCAUAAAGUUUGAGAAUAAUUUGUGUGUCAAUAGAAGAGUCGAAGGGACCUUUUCGAGCUCGCCGAGUCGAAGAGCUCGCUGUUCCACUCGAAGCACAUGAACAUGACGUAAGAUGAAAAAGAAAGGAAAGAAGGAUAGAGGACGCAAUCAAACCGGAGCAAUCAAAGAACGAAAGGUACUCUUUUCUCAAAAUCUUCGAGGAAGAGAGUUGGUCGGGAGGACGUUGACAGGCGAUAGUGGUGGAUGGCAACAACUUCGACAGAGCGACAGUCGACUCUCGCAAAAUGCGUGCCAAGGAACGUGUCAAAGAGCGUGGUAGGUCGAACCAAUUCCAACUGAAUGCUACAGUGCGGGAAAGUAGGCCAUAUGCGAAAGGAUUGUAACUCAUUCAAAUGCUAUAACUGUGAUAAUGGGCUCUUGCAAAAGAUUGUCGGAAUCAUGAAAAGAAGGUAAAUAGAAACAACCAAUCUAACCUGGAAGUCUGACAGCAAAUGAAGGUUUCUCUUGAUGCGCUCAAAAUGAGAUCAACACAAAUGACAAUGUUUAACCCUUGACUCAGGAGGCAAGUAACCAUAUGUGUGGUCACAAACACCGUUUAAAGAAUGAGACAAGAUUGAAGAGCAAGUAAUCAUUCUCGGGAUGCUCGAAGUGAACCGGUCGAAUGGCAAAGGAACGAUUCGUUACCCUGCAGAAAGAAUGGGUUGAUUGGAAUAAGCAUUGAAUUUAUGGUACAAUCUUAAGACCAACAUCUUGAUUGGCGAAACUUACAGAAAAAGGUUAUUCGAUACUGAGAAAGAACGGAUACUGUAUUGAAGACAAGCUGGGACAUCGUGAUGCUCGUGUCGAAAUGCGAGAGAAAUCGAAUGUAAAACGAAUCUGAUAAAACGUCUCGAGAAAAAUGUUACAAGUAAAUGUCGAAGACAAAGCGUCACUAGGCACUACGCAUUUGGUCAUUCUACAUCAUGGCUGUUUAAGAGUGUUGCGAAAAAGAAGAACAGGUGCAUGACUACCAGAUAUGGAUUAUGAGGAGAAAGUUCGCUGAAGAAUGUGUGCUGAGUCAAACAACAAAACUUCAUUCCAAAAGAAGGCAGAAUAUCAAGCUAAGCAUAUCUUGAUCUUGAUCACAUAGCCGACCAUAUGUGGGCCAAUCACGCCAGAAAUCUUUCAUGGUCAAAAAGUACUUUAUUUUCGCUUAUCCGACGAUAACUCCAAGACAUGGGUCUAUUCUUGAAAGAAAAGUCUGCGAAGCAAUUCGAUGGUGUUCAAAAGGUUCAAAGUAAUGGUGGGAGAAGGAGACUGACAGACACAUUAAAGCAGUUCGAUCAGAUAGAGGUCGUGAGUAUACCUUCGACAACCUUUAGAAGUAUUGUGAAAGAGCAGGUAUAGAGAUUUCUAAUUGCAGCAUACUCCACCUCAAAACAAAAUGGGGGGGCUUGAAAGGAAAGAAUCGAACAGUCCUUGACAUGCGUUCGAUCAAUGCCUUAAAAGGCAAGACAUGCCAAAGGAGUUUUGGGCAGAAAGCUGUUUUUAAAAUGUCCAUUUAUGUUCAAAAUCGAUGUCCACAUUCGAAGUAGAAGAUCAUCAAACACCACAAGAAGCGUGGAGCGGACAGAAGCCAACAGUCUCUCAUCUCAAAGAUUUUGGAAGUGUUGCUUAUGCACACGUACCAGUCAACGAAGAACGAAACUUGAAGACAAAAGUCAGAAAUACAUAACUCAUUGGGUAUGAUGAGAAACAAAAGGGUACAAGCUAUUUGAUCCCAUAAAAAAGAAGGGUAGUGAGAGAGACGUUCGAAUAAAAACAAAGCAAGGUAAAGUGGGGACUGGAACAGUUCGACAGAAGCUGUUGUCGAAGUUGAAGAAUCAUCUGUCGCUGGGUUACAUCAAACAUUUGCGACCAAACUGAAAAAUUCUGACGAUGAAGAUGAACCUACACAACCCAGAAUUGCGAAGUUUGCAAGAUCUGUAUGAUUCGACAAGUGAAGUGCCACUGUAUGGCUCUUGGCAGGAUGCUGCAAAACAUCAUUUCUCUGAAGAAAAGAAGCAGUACGAGACAGAAGUGGAAAAAAGUGCAAUGCGACGAAGAGAUGAGGCGAUUAUCCACAACAACACUUGGGAGCUAGUUGAAUUGCAAAAAGGUAGUCAACCAAUUUGCCGUGUAAAGUGCGGUAUUCAAAGAAGAAAGCUGAACGCUCAAGGGAAGAAACUAGACGAUACAAAAGCGCAAGACUUUGUUGUGAAGGGCCGUACAACAGAAAGCAGGAGUGAUUAUGACGAAGUAUGUGCACCUGUUGAAGAAUGCGAGACAAAUAUCGAUACUCAUAUCUCAAGCUGCCUCAAUUCAACAUGGACAAUAUUUCAACAUGGAUGUCCAAAACAGCUUUCUGAAUGGUUGUACUUAGAAGAAGAAGUCUAUGGAUCGAACAACCACUCGGGUACAUGAAAGCUUGGAGAAGAGAAGAAUGGUAACUGAAAUUGAAGAAAGCGCUAUAUGGGCCAUGAAGCAAGCCACCGUGGGCAUGGAACACACGUAUCCGACACAUAUAUUCAAGGAGAAUGGGUUCGAGCAAUGUCCGUAACGAACAAUGCCCUCUAUUGUGAAGAAAAAAGGAAUGAAUUUAUUACUUAGUUGCUCUCUUAUGUUGAUUGAUCUUAUUUUUCUGGGCAGUAAUGAUGAGAUGAUAGAAGAAUUCAAAAGCACAAUGACACGUGAAUUCAGAUGACAGAUUUAGGGCCUGAUGAGAUUCUUUCUUGCGUCUGAAGUUCGACAAGAAAGCAAACAGGAAUCUUCAUUUCACAAGAAAAUAUGCAAAAAGAAAUCUUGAAAAGAUAUAGAUUGGAAAGCCUGUAAUCGGCUUCGACGCCAAUGAACCAGAACAAAAAAACUGCCGAAAUUUGAUGGAGCCGAGAACGCUGGUCGAAGCAGGAAAAUAUCGAAGUUUGGUAGGAAGUCUUCGCUAUCUCACAUGUACAAGGGCACCAGAUAGCUCAUUAAGUAUAGCAUUGUAAGUCUUUCAUGGAGGAGCCAGUUUAACACAUUGGAAGGGCAUUAAAGCGAAAUUCUGAGGCUACAUCCAAAGAACAGUGUCACUUGGGAUGUUUUACUCGAAGUAAAGAGAAAUACAAGUUGGUUGGUUACUCUGACAGUGAUUGGUGCGGGAGACAUAGAUGAUCAAAAAGCACUAUCUGGAUACUGUGUUUUCAUGGGAAAUACUGCAUUUACUUGGCUUUUUCUAAAAAAGCAGCCAGAUAGUAACACUUUCGACAUGUGAAGCAGCGCAUAUUAGCAGCAUCUGGUGUGUUUGUCAUGCAAUAUGGCUCAGAAGAUUGAUGAGUAAAAUGGAACCUAGAACAGGAAAGAUGCUACAAAAUACAAGUUGACAAACAGGUCAGCAAUUGAGCUUUAGCAAAGAAUCCAGUAACCCAUGAAAGGAGCAACACAUGACGUUCGUUUUUCACUUUAUUUCGAGAAACACGCUUGAAGGAAGGCAAGUGUCGAAAUUGAAAGCAUGUAGCAAGUAAGGACCAAAGCAGCUUGAUAUUUUCACAAAAAAACCACUAUCAAAGGAAAUUCUUCGACAGACGGCAAAGAAGUUGAUAGGAAUGAUGAAUGGAAGAAACAUUUAAGUUUACAGAGGAGUUUUGUUGAAUAAACUUUAAAUGUUACAGUUAAUGGGCUUUUAAUAAUAAGUUAGUGAAAAGAAUUGAAAGGUCAAUAGACAGUGGGAAAAUUAAGAGUAUUUACUAUUUAUCAUAAUUAGUAGAAUAGCUAAAGUUUG
Molecule: long non-coding RNA, 5172 nt
Filed under: Lathyrus oleraceus (garden pea)
Lineage: Eukaryota; Viridiplantae; Streptophyta; Magnoliopsida; Fabales; Fabaceae
Description: Pisum sativum (pea) long non-coding RNA (PSAT_LNC011768)
Source: RNAcentral